This is a long non-coding RNA of Girardinichthys multiradiatus, 2522 nucleotides long. RefSeq lists it as uncharacterized. The transcript is spliced from 2 exons. Lineage: Eukaryota; Metazoa; Chordata; Actinopteri; Cyprinodontiformes; Goodeidae. The record is from RefSeq and is a predicted model, not a curated record.
AACAGUGGCCUACCUUGCAGACACUGUUCAGGACAUCCAAUGUUGUCUCACCGGGCUGCACGAUGGCCAGGACUGGCUGAUUGUUUGGCAGACUCACCCAGGAGGGCUUCAGACAGACAACAGGCUGGAGGGGCCCGUAACCAGUACCUCCCCCAACUUCCCUGAACUCCCAGGCUGCUCAGCACCAUCUGGCUUCCCUCCUGGCCUAUCUAAGAUUCCUCUGCUGGGGGGAUGAAAGGUUUACAUGAGGCAUAUUAAAAUCUUCUGCUCUCUUAUUUCCUCUUAUGUUAACAAUCGGACUCCCCAGAAUAAAUACAGUGUCAUAGAAGGGGCCAGCCUGUCAGAGGUGAAAAAUCUUUGCUGGUAAUGUGAGGGUUCUUGCUGUGUAUUAGUAAAAGUCAAGGCAUGCUACCUCUUGUGCAUUUCUUUACGGUCAUCCCAUUCCCCCCAACCCCCGCCAGCUGAGGUUGGGCGUGGGUGGAAGGAAAUUGAUCUCUCCUCCUGCCGCAGGGGGCCCUCACAGCAAGAGUGGUUUAUUGCCCCAGUUUUUCUUCAGUAUGCGGGGUUCAGACAGAGGCCUGUCUUUUCCUCUCCCACACUCUCGACUGCCUUUUAUCGCUUCUCAUGAACUAUGGAGGUGGCAUGCUUAUCCUUGCACAACCUCUGCGUAAUUUAACCAUUUUCUUUCUAGGUUUUGUGAAAUCACAAUAUUUACUCAUCUGUGAUAAAUAAUCAUAAACAUCCAAAUGAGCUCUAUGCCGAUUUCUUUGUUAAAACAUUUGUUCUGAUGUUGAGUUAUCUGUAAAUUUGUGUAAGCACAGGUAAGAACAGAUGCUCCGAAACGUUAUGGCACUUAGGUACCUUAUAUCUGCAUAAUUCGAGUUAAUGAUCUGCAAAUAUCAGAUUGGGUUUCUCUCAGAGAUCACCAGACAGUGAUGUCUCUUGAGGAUGGUUUAUGUGAUUCUGAUUUAGCUAAAAUUGCCCUAAGCAACUGAAAACAAUAGAUGGAUAUCUGUCAAAAAUGAUGUAGGUUUUUGAUUUGAUAUAUAAUAAUCUGUAAAUUUUGAACCCCAAUUAUAAUGAAAUUGGAACAUAGAGUAAAAUUUAAAUAAAAACAGAAUAUAAUGAUUUGUAAAUCCUGUUCAACCUAUAACCAUAUGAAUCCACUACAAAGACAAAACUAUAUUUAAUGGUCAAACUGAUAAAUUUGAUUGUUUUGUUUGCAAAUAAUGGCUAAUUUAGAAUCUGAUGCUUGCAACACGUUCCAUAAAACGCUAGAACAGGGACAUGGUAACCACUGUGUUACAAGAGAAAAAGCUGCACAAGGUGUUUAUGUAAAACAAGUACAGCACUCUAAAAUGGUGUUUACUCCCCUUUUUUUUCCCUUUUUUGUCAUGUUUUGUCUCGUUUUCAACCCAAAACUGUAUUUUACUGCAGGUUUGUGUGAUUUACCAACACAAAGUAAUGCUUAAAUGUAACAUUGGAUUAAAAUUAUACAUAGUUUAUCUAGUUUUUUCACAAAUGGAAACCCAAUAAGUGUGCAAGUAUUGGUAUUCACCCCCCUCCAAAAGAAUCAAACUAUAACCACAAAUUGCUGCAAUUUGCACAUAUAGAGAUUUACAUUUCAAUUCUUGCUGCAGAUUCUUGAUCGGUUAGGUCUGAACUUUGAUUGGGCCAUUCAAACACAUUAAAAUUGUUUUAUCUAAACCAUUUUAGGAUUGUUAUCCUGCUGGAAAUUAAACAUACACUCUAGUCAUCUCCAUCCUCUAACAGGUUUUCUUCCAGGAAUGCCCUGUAUUUAACUCCAUUCAUCUUUCUUUCAACCCUGAUCUUCCCUUCCACUGCUGAUGAAAAGCACUCCCAAAGCAUGAUGCUGCCACUAUCAUGUUUCACAUUGGGGAUGAUGUGUUCCAGGUGAUACAAAAAGUUGUUCAUGGUCACAUUUGGCAUUUUGCAUGUAGGUCGAAAAGUUACAUUUUGGUCUCAGCGCACCUUCUUUCAUGUUUGCUGGGUUUCCUAGAUAGUAAAGAAGUCGGAAUAUACAUGCACACCAUAUUUUUUCAGUUUUUAUUUUAUGAAACAAAUCUGAAAAUUGUGCAUCAUUCUUUUGAAGAACACCAUACCCACCACCAAAUGUUGCCACCGCCACAUUUCAACAUGGUUUAUAGUGACAAAGGGGGUUCAUUGUAACAUUUUUCACCAAAGAUACCGUUUUCCAUGUAGAUAAACAAGCUUAAUUUUCAUUUCCUUUGACCAAAACACCCUUUUCCACAUGUUUGCUGUGAACAAGGCCUUUAACAAAUUGUAAACAGGAUUUCCAAUGUUUUUUUUAACAAUGGCUUUGAUGCCAUUCUUCAAUUUAAAAAUCAUUUAGCAUUGUUUCUUUAGGGUAUCAGAGUAUACGAAUAAAUGCCAUAUUUUUGCUGAGUUUCAUUUGUAAAAUGCAUUUAAUUUUUACUUUACAAUAGUGCUGUACUUUAUGCUCAUAUAAAAUCUCAAUUAAAUGAAUUUAGGUUUGUGGC